Non-coding RNA from Rattus norvegicus (Norway rat), 69 nucleotides. The record is from Rfam. Lineage: Eukaryota; Metazoa; Chordata; Mammalia; Rodentia; Muridae.
GGGGAUUUAGCUCAGUGGUAGAGCACUUGCCUAGCAAGCGCAAGGCCCUGGGUUCGAUCCCCAGCUCCA